This is a non-coding RNA of Parelaphostrongylus tenuis, 72 nucleotides long. The record is from the annotation of a GenBank genome assembly. NCBI's taxonomy places the organism in Eukaryota, Metazoa, Nematoda, Chromadorea, Rhabditida, Metastrongylidae.
GCAUUAGUGGUUCAGCAGUAGAACACUCGCCUGCCAAGCGCGCGACCCGGGUUCGAUUCCCCGGCCAAUGCA